CAAUAGCGUAUAUUAAAGUUGUUGCAGUUAAAAAGCUCGUAGUUGGAUUUCUGGUUGAAGCGACCGGUCGGGCGUUGAUUCGUCUGCACUGGAGUCGGUUUUGGCCAUCCUCUAGGAAAGUGCGUCUGGUAUUAAGUUAUCGGGCGUAUGAUCCUGGUCUUUUACUGUGAAAAAAUUAGAGUGUUUAAAGCAGUCCUUCGCCUUGAAUACAUUAGCAUGGAAUAAUAAGAUAGGACUUUGGUCUAUUUUGUUGGUUUGCAGACCGAAGUAAUGAUUAAUAGGGAUAGUUGGGGGUAUUUAUAUUCCGAUGUCAGAGGUGAAAUUCUUAGAUUUUCGGAAGAUAAACUUAUGCGAAAGCAUUUACCAAGGAUGUUUUCAUUAA
Molecule: ribosomal RNA, 382 nt
Filed under: uncultured eukaryote
Lineage: Eukaryota
Description: partial 18S ribosomal RNA
Rfam family: Eukaryotic small subunit ribosomal RNA
Source: RNAcentral